Molecule: long non-coding RNA, 429 nt
Filed under: Parus major (Great Tit)
Lineage: Eukaryota; Metazoa; Chordata; Aves; Passeriformes; Paridae
Description: lncRNA (ENSPMJG00000011046.1)
Source: RNAcentral
AAGACCCCGAGCCUCUGGUGGCCGGCGAGCCGUGCGAGCGGGGCUCCCGCAGCCGGUGAGAAGGAAGGGGGCUACUGGGAGAGAUGCGGAAAGGCACCGCGCUCCACCGAGGACAAGGACAGCAGGACACCUGGGGACAGAAAAGGCAUCACUGGGGGCAAGGCUGUUGCUCGCCAAGCACCGGGAGGACCGGCGGGUCUCUGUGACCGAGGACGCGGCUCAUGUCUCAUUAGUUCAAAGGAAGUGGCUGUCCUACUCAACUCUGGGUGUCAUGCUGUUUCUGUUGGAAUUACAUCCAAACUUCAGAUGCUGGUAGACCCUGAGCCUGGCUGCAGGUGGUGGCUGCAUUCCGUGGUGGAAUAAGAUGGAAACAACAUCAACAUUCUCUCUCAGCUCUCCGAAUAAAGCCUCCAGGAAUCAGGUGUUUCA